UGAGACACGGUCCAGACUCCUACGGGAGGCAGCAGUGGGGAAUAUUGCACAAUGGGGGAAACCCUGAUGCAGCCAUGCCGCGUGUGUGAAGAAGGCCUUCGGGUUGUAAAGCACUUUCAGCGAGGAGGAAAGGUCAGUAGCUAAUACCUGCUGGCUGUGACGUUACUCGCAGAAGAAGCACCGGCUAACUCCGUGCCAGCAGCCGCGGUAAUACGGAGGGUGCAAGCGUUAAUCGGAAUUACUGGGCGUAAAGCGCACGCAGGCGGUUGGAUAAGUUAGAUGUGAAAGCCCCG
This 293-nucleotide ribosomal RNA is filed under the name Aeromonas sp. MrichA-1. RNAcentral's name for it is "partial 16S ribosomal RNA". It matches the Rfam family "Bacterial small subunit ribosomal RNA", at positions 320 to 605 of the family's 1533-position model. Lineage: Bacteria; Pseudomonadati; Pseudomonadota; Gammaproteobacteria; Aeromonadales; Aeromonadaceae. The record is from RNAcentral.